RNAcentral lists this ribosomal RNA (510 nucleotides) under uncultured bacterium. RNAcentral's name for it is "partial 16S ribosomal RNA". It matches the Rfam family "Bacterial small subunit ribosomal RNA", at positions 28 to 507 of the family's 1533-position model. The record is from RNAcentral.
GACGAACGCUGGCGGCGUGCUUAACACAUGCAAGUCGAACGAAGAGCGAUGGAAGCUUGCUUCUAUCAAUCUUAGUGGCGAACGGGUGAGUAACGCGUAAUCAACCUGCCCUUCAGAGGGGGACAACAGUUGGAAACGACUGCUAAUACCGCAUACGAUCUAAUCUCGGCAUCGAGGAUAGAUGAAAGGUGGCCUCUACAUGUAAGCUAUCACUGAAGGAGGGGAUUGCGUCUGAUUAGCUAGUUGGCGGGGUAACGGCCCACCAAGGCGAUGAUCAGUAGCCGGUCGGAGAGGAUGAACGGCCACAUUGGGACUGAGACACGGCCCAGACUCCUACGGGAGGCAGCAGUGGGGAAUCUUCCGCAAUGGACGAAAGUCUGACGGAGCAACGCCGCGUGAGGGAUGACGGCCUUCGGGUUGUAAAGCUCUGUUAAUCGGGACGAAAGGCCUUCUUGCGAAUAGUGAGAAGGAUUGACGGUACCGGAAGAGAAAGCCACGGCUAACUACGUG